Macaca mulatta (Rhesus monkey) is the source of this 122-nucleotide small nuclear RNA. Its record names the gene U5. It matches the Rfam family "U5 spliceosomal RNA". Rfam says of the family: U5 RNA is a component of both types of known spliceosome. The precise function of this molecule is unknown, though it is known that the 5' loop is required for splice site selection and p220 binding, and that both the 3' stem-loop and the Sm site are important for Sm protein binding and cap methylation. The record is from Ensembl. NCBI's taxonomy places the organism in Eukaryota, Metazoa, Chordata, Mammalia, Primates, Cercopithecidae.
AUGCACUAGUUUUCAUUCAAAUUGCAUGAAUCUUUUACCUUUUACUAAAGAUAUCUGUGGAGAGGAAACAACUGUGAGUUUUAAGCUAAUUUUUUUUUAACACUCUGCAUUUCUUAGCGCGG